GCUCAGGAUGAACGCUGGCGGCGUGCCUAAUACAUGCAAGUCGAGCGAACUGAUUAGAAGCUUGCUUCUAUGACGUUAGCGGCGGACGGGUGAGUAACNNGUGGGCAACCUGCCUGUAAGACUGGGAUAACUUCGGGAAACCGGAGCUAAUACCGGAUAGGAUCUUCUCCUUCAUGGGAGAUGAUUGAAAGAUGGUUUCGGCUAUCACUUACAGAUGGGCCCGCGGUGCAUUAGCUAGUUGGUGAGGUAACGGCUCACCAAGGCAACGAUGCAUAGCCGACCUGAGAGGGUGAUCGGCCACACUGGGACUGAGACACGGCCCAGACUCCUACGGGAGGCAGCAGUAGGGAAUCUUCCGCAAUGGACGAAAGUCUGACGGAGCAACGCCGCGUGAGUGAUGAAGGCUUUCGGGUCGUAAAACUCUGUUGUUAGGGAAGAACAAGUACAAGAGUAACUGCUUGUACCUUGACGGUACCUAACCAGAAAGCCACGGCUAACUACGUGCCAGCAGCCGCGGUAAUAC
Molecule: ribosomal RNA, 523 nt
Filed under: uncultured marine bacterium
Lineage: Bacteria
Description: bacterial SSU rRNA
Rfam family: Bacterial small subunit ribosomal RNA
Source: RNAcentral